Molecule: ribosomal RNA, 467 nt
Filed under: uncultured bacterium
Lineage: Bacteria
Description: partial 16S ribosomal RNA
Rfam family: Bacterial small subunit ribosomal RNA
Source: RNAcentral
GACGAACGCUGGCGGCGUGCUUAACACAUGCAAGUCGAACGGAAAGGCUCCAGCUUGCUGGAGUACUCGAGUGGCGAACGGGUGAGUAACACGUGGGUAAUCUGCCCUGCACUCUGGGAUAAGCCUGGGAAACUGGGUCUAAUACUGGAAAUGACCUUUCUCCUUAUGGGGUUAGGUGGAAAGUUUUUCGGUGUAGGAUGAGCCCGCGGCCUAUCAGCUUGUUGGUGGGGUGAUGUCCUACCAAGGCGACGACGGGUAGCCGGCCUGGGAGGGUGAUCGGCCACGUUGGGUCUGAGAUGCGGCCCAGACUCCUACGGGAGGCAGCAGUGGGGAAUAUUGCACAAUGGGCGGAAGCCUGAUGCAGCGACGCCGCGUGGGGGAUGCCGGCCUUCGGGUUGCAAACCUCUUUCAGCAGGGACGAAGCGUAAGUGACGGUACCUGCAGAAGAAGCACCGGCUAACUAUGUG